UACAGCCAUAUCGCGUGGAAACACCGGCUCUUGUACGAUCACCGAAGUUAAGUAACGUCAAACCUGGUCAAUACAAUGAUGGGUGACCGCUUGAAAAUAUCAGGUGCUGUU
This is a non-coding RNA of Acanthosepion pharaonis, 111 nucleotides long. NCBI's taxonomy places the organism in Eukaryota, Metazoa, Mollusca, Cephalopoda, Sepiida, Sepiidae. The record is from the annotation of a GenBank genome assembly.